AUUUAUAUAGUAUAAUAAAAAUUACAUUUAAUUUCCAAUUAAAAAAUUUAAUUUAUUUUAAUAUAAAUA
This 69-nucleotide transfer RNA is filed under the name Acropyga pallida. Its description in RNAcentral is "tRNA-Gly". The record is from RNAcentral. Lineage: Eukaryota; Metazoa; Arthropoda; Insecta; Hymenoptera; Formicidae.